Molecule: transfer RNA, 93 nt
Filed under: Staphylococcus haemolyticus
Lineage: Bacteria; Bacillati; Bacillota; Bacilli; Caryophanales; Staphylococcaceae
Description: tRNA-Ser
Rfam family: tRNA
About the family: Transfer RNA (tRNA) molecules are approximately 80 nucleotides in length. Their secondary structure includes four short double-helical elements and three loops (D, anti-codon, and T loops). Further hydrogen bonds mediate the characteristic L-shaped molecular structure. tRNAs have two regions of fundamental functional importance: the anti-codon, which is responsible for specific mRNA codon recognition, and the 3' end, to which the tRNAs corresponding amino acid is attached (by aminoacyl-tRNA synthetases). tRNAs cope with the degeneracy of the genetic code in two manners: having more than one tRNA (with a specific anti-codon) for a particular amino acid; and 'wobble' base-pairing, i.e. permitting non-standard base-pairing at the 3rd anti-codon position.
Source: RNAcentral
GGAGAACUGUCCGAGUCUGGCCGAAGGAGCACGCCUGGAAAGUGUGUAAGCGCUAUAAGCAGCGCUUCAAGGGUUCGAAUCCCUUGUUCUCCA